ACAAGUAAAGUUGAAGUAGUCUCUUGUCCAGCAAAAUAGAACAAUUUACACUCUUCAAUCACCUCAUCAAUGCUCAUACCAAAUUUCUUAUUCCCAUGUUGUUGUAUUUCUUUUAAAUUGGAUGUCAAUAAUAUACUCAAUAAAUCAUCAUGUGAUUCUCCAGCUUCAAUCAUCCUCAUUCUUUUAUUGAUAAUUCCCAAUAUAAGUGCUUUUACUUCAUAGAAGAUUUGCAUCAUCCUUUUGUUCUUUUUAGUUGGCACAAACCUAUAGUUCAUGAUCAUGAUAACAUUAAUUAUUGUUAAAAAAAUCAAUAUACAAGAAAUAUCAUAGAGUACUUAGAGACACGUAAAUACGCUUCUUGAAGAUAGUUGAAGUUUGUUUCACGAACUAAUAAAAGAAUGAUAACACAAUACUGUCUUUCACAUUCAACUAAACCACAUGUUUUUUUCAAAGGGGAAACAACGGUUUUAGUCCUUGUAUUAUUACGUAAUUUCACUUUUAGUCCCUGUAUUAUUUGAUGUUGCAUAUUUAACCUUGAAUUAUUUGAAAUGUGUUGUUUUGGUCAUUGAAAUUAACAAAAGUUAACUAUUAAUUAAUUUAACAUAAAAUUAAAUAAAAUAAAGGAUUGGUGAUUCUAAAUGCUUGAAGAAUUAUGUAUAUAAAGUCUGCAACACGAAAUUUUUAUGCGAUUAUCCAUCCUAGUUCGACGUACUUAUUUUCAAGCAUGCUUAACUUUGAAGUUUUAUUCAGAAUUCAUAAUGAAAAAUAAAAUAAUAUAUAUAUAUAUAUUCAUUUUUGAAAUUAAUUCAAUUUGUUCUUUUUGAAGUUCAAAAUUCUUUUUUCCUUCUUCAUAAUUACUGCCAAAAGCAGUUCUUGAAAUUGCAUCACUUGUCAAUGUUUGAAGAUAUGGCCACACAUCUAUCUCUGUUCCGUCUUUCGAGACAACUUUCUUCCAUGUGUUCAACAUUUCAUUAACAGUUAAUUUGAAUGCAGGUAGCAUAUGCUGCACAUUAAUAAGAAUUAUCACAAACUUAAUAUUUAUAUAUAUUUAAUAAAUCUUCUAACACAUAUAUGUAACUUCAAUCUUCAUUUCUGCGCACAGUCAAAUUAUGACAAAGAAAUUGAAACAAGAGAAAUAAUAAGUAGUAAGAGAAAUGGCUUCAAUGUUUUUGUUUUACUUUUUGUUUUAGUCAGUUUCCAAAAACAAUCUCUCUUUUCUUCUUUUUUUUGACAACUCUAUUGUUUUAAACUUUUGACAUACUUAAGAUUACAAGAUUAAAAACCAUUUUUGUAUAUUCUAUAUAUCUAUAGUUUAAGACAACGAGAUAUCAAGAGUCUUCUUUACUUUGUUAAACUUCUUGUCAAAGUGAAAAUUAGACGUCCAGACAAAUGAAUUGAAACAAAAAGAGUAUAACAAAGUUUCAAAAUGGCUAAAACCUUCAACUUGUCAAGGUGAAAAGCUGGAUUGAGAAUCCUUCUAUGUGUGGCCCAUUUAUCUUUUUCAUGGCCCGCAAGCCCAGAUAUUACCAACUUAGAUAGUGGGCUGCCACGUGCCUUAUGAUAAACAUAAUUCUUUGUUAACACCUCCCUUAUCAAUUUGGGCUCUGUGAUAAGGACUGCUGGUUUGGGCCCAAUCCACACAAAACAAUUCUUACCUACAAAAUUGAAGUGAAAGGGAAAAUUACGCGAUAUAGCGACUUAAGUCUAUUAAUUUUUAUAUGUAUGUAUGUAUGUUGUAUGACGAUCACUAUACGUAUGUAUGAUUGUAUGUAUAUGUAUCUAUGACGGUACGACAAAUGUAUGUAUACAUGUAUGAUUGUAUGUAUGUAUGCCUCUAGUGUAUGUAUGAUAUGUUUUUUUGAAAAGAAAUGUUACACAAUUAUAUAGUUACUAAGUAAUUUUUGUAUGAAAGGCAUGGAUUGAUAACCUACAAAAUAUUAUAAAUAGCUUCCUUCAGAACUUUAGUCUAGUGAUAAGAACAACACAUCACAUGAUGUGUAUGUUAAAAGUGUACGUCAAGGGGUCCAAACCUUGUUGAAGACAUAAGGUCGAUAUUAAAGUAAAGAAUGAUAAAAGGUUGGAAUCAUUAUUCACCCAAUAUUAGUACAAUAUAAGAGCUUAAGUCAUAGAUAAUGUGUAAUUUACACAAUAAACUCAUCUAAAAAUAUUAUUUACUAUCGUAGAUAAAUGUGAUCUGAUGAUAUAAAAUUUUAUACACCAAUGAUAUUAGUAAAAAUUUAUACAUAACUAGAUCAGUUAAAAGAUACCAAAUAGUAAAUGCAUAAAAGGGUCAUAUUUGCCCAUUUACUUACCAUAAUUUGUGAUGGUUUUGUGGAUGAAGGGGUUGAUUCUAGGCCAAAUCAAGUCAUGUGAGAAAUCAAUAGGCUUGGAUGUAGCUUCUUCAAUCAUCUUCUUCAUCUCUUUCAUAUCCCCAUACAACAACUUGUAAGAAUUUCCUUUGAAACCUUGUUGUCUUAGUUGUUUCUCCAAUUUUUUUGGUUUGAACCAAACAUAAUUCAAGAUUCUCCAUGUCCAUCUCAAUACAAAGAUAAUUGCAAAUGAAAAUAUUGCAAUUUUUAAGUUGUAAUAUGAUAUUUCCAUAUUCAAAAACCUAACCCUUCCCUCACUAGCCUCCAAUAUGAUAAUACCAAGUUUCAUGCUCUUUAUUAUGAUAUUAGUACCAUAUAUAUACAUACUAAAUGAAGAAAAUGAAGUUUUAAAUUAAUAAAUUAAAAGUCAUAAGGGGUUGCUACUUGUUUGGUUAAUGGAAGAAGGUGAUAUAUCAGAUAAUUAAGUUUGGAAUAAAUUUAUAUCUUUAAUUUAAUUUUACAUAUCUGUUUAUUUCAUUCAGUUUGAUAUUAUUUUAUCUCAUCUUCUAAGUAUUCAAAUUAAUUAUAAAAUUAUAAUUUCAAGAUAACUUAAUUCGUGAAUCAAGGUAGUGAUCAAGAAAUUAUAUUCCAACCACACGUAUUUGAAAAUUCAAAAAAAUCCAUAGAUUUAUUGCACGUCAUUUUCUCUAUCAAUCUUUUUCUUUAUCUUUGUGUCUAGACUAUUUGGACUUAUCAACUCUUAUUAAAUUAAGAAUAAUCUUCCCUUUUAGAAAGAAAAAGAAGAUCUUUUACUAUAUAUUAAUGUAGAUAUUUGAAGCAAAAGCAAUGAGGGAACUAGAAAGUUUAAAUAUAAAUAUUAAAAUACAACAAUGCCAUACAAUUUGAACCUUGACUUAAAGUUGAACCUUAAAUAAAAAUAAUGUGAACCUUUAACUUAAUUUGAACCUUGAAUUAAAAUAAUAUGAACCUUAAAUUAAAUUGAGCAUUGGAAGAAGAUUAGUCUUUAUUGAACCUUAGAUUAAUUUAAAAUAAGAUAGACUCCUUUUGUUCACUUUUACUUGUCACAGUUUGACUUGACACACUCAUUAAAAAAAUAAUAAAUGAUAUAGGUAUUUUAUCAAACUCUUCUCUAUAAAAUGAUGUCUUGGAAAAAUGAUUUGAAAAAUAAGUAUUUAAUGUUGAGGGUAAAACAUGAAAACAAAAUUAUUAUCUUUUUUUGAUAUGUAAAAGGUGACAAGUAAAAUGUUAUUUUAGUUGUGUGACAUUUUCUAAAGCAGAUCAACAAAAAAUAAUGCAUGAGAUCUUCAUCAUGACUUUUUCUUUUGUUCAAAUUAUAAGUAAAUAUAGAAAAGAUCAUUUCCUCGAUAACAUUUCUUGAAUUCAACUUCAUAUUACUUAAUUUCUUGAAUUAACCAUAUAGGUUUGUACCAACAAAAACAAAUAGAAGGAUGAAACAAAUCUUUAAUGAAGUGGGAGCAUUGAUAUUAGGAAUCAUCAACAAAAGAAUAAAGAUGAUUGAAGAUGGAGAAAUAGAUGAUGACUUAUUGAGUAUACUAUUGACAUCCAAUUUACAAGAAAUCCAACAACAUGGACAUAAAAAAUUUGGUAUGAGCACUGAUGAGGUGAUUGAAGAGUGUAAAUUAUUUUAUCUUGCUGGGCAAGAGACUACUUCAGCUUUACUUGUGUGGACAAUGAUUUUAUUGUGCAAAUAUCCUAUUUGGCAAGAAAGGGCUAGACAAGAGGUUCUACAAGUGUUUGAAAGUGAUGAAUUUGACUAUGACAAGUUGAAUCACCUAAAAGUGGUAAGUAGACAAAUUUCUAUAUUUAGUCUGUAUAAAAAAGAAUGUCACGUUUUAGUUUUAUAAUUUUUCAAUAUAUAUAUCGUUAGGGAGGUCAUUUAUAACCGCACAUUAUAGAGAGAGUGCUAUUUUAUUUUGUUUAGUCAGUCUAAAGAUAUUAUGUUAGAUACUCUUAACAUAAUAUUCAACUAUUUGUACCCCUUAUAUAUUGUCAUGAUGACACUAAUCACUAGUGAUAUUUUUCUUUUUAAUAGGUUACUAUGAUCUUAAAUGAGGUUUUAAGGUUGUAUCCAUCAGGAUAUUUUAUUAAUAGAGUGGUGACCAAAGACACAAAGCUAGGAAAGUUGUGUUUACCCUCUGGGGUGCAACUUUUGUUGGGAACAAUUUUGUUGCAUCAUGAUACUGAAUUAUGGGGAGAUUAUGCAAUGGAGUUCAAUCCUGAGAGAUUUAGUGAUGGAGUAGCCAAAGCAACAAAAGGACAACUUGUGUUUUUUCCUUUUAGUUGGGGUCCAAGAAUAUGUAUUGGCCAAAACUUUGCUAUGUUAGAGGCAAAAAUUGCAAUAGCCAUGAUUCUCAAACACUAUUCUUUUGGACUCUCUCCAUCUUAUGCUCAUGCUCCUCAUCCACUAUUGCUUCAACCUCAAUAUGGUGCUCAUUUGAUUUUGUACAAGUUGGAGAAAUGAUCAUUUGGAACUUAUUAUUAGAUUUAUAUCAUUGUAAUCAUCAACUAUAUAUGUGUGAACAUGUUUUUUCUUGUAAUAGAUCAUACACUUCAGUCAAUAUAAUUAUGUUGUGUAGUUUUUAAUGCAACUUGCUUGGAAAUACUUCAAAAUAUUAUGUAUAUUACCACUAAUUAAGAGUUUUGUUACCAUAUAUUGAGAAAGAUACACUUCGAUACAUAUAAUUUUGCUACCAGAUACACUAAAAUAGGGUGAGAGGCGAGCAAGAUGGGGAGGGAGGCGAACGAGAGUUUGUUACGUAUCCCAUAUAUAUGUGAAUCACGCUAGAUACACACUGUAUACAUGUAUAUGUAUGUAUCUGGUGUGAUUCGCAUGUAUUGGGAUACCAGAUACAUAGGAGAGUGGUGAGGGAGAUGGGAGAAAGGCGAGGGAGGCGUGUGAGACUUGUUAUGUAUCCCAGAUACAUGCAAAUCCACUUGGAUACAAUAUUAUCCUGAGAUAAAUGUAUCUGGACAUAUCUGAACACAUCUGUGAAAGUCACAAGGAACUAACUCAACGCCUAAAAGGCUAAAACAAGCUUGGAACCUCCCAAAAAUCAACCAAGACCUCAGCUAGACCUAAAAUCAUUCCCCAAACCCAAGUGAACUUUUGGAAUUCCGAUCCGAGCACCCGAACCCCGAAUAUUAACCAAAGUCAAUUCAAAGGCCAAAUUUCCAAAAAUUCACAACUUAGGACCUCAAAUCCUCAAAAAACUCUAAAUCUAAAACCGACAACUUUCGCAGAUCAGAUUUCACAUUUCGAAACUGAUGGAAUCAAUGAAAUUCCAUUCCGACACUUGAAACUCCAAAAGACACUGAAAACCACUUUUUUAACAACUUAGCCUUUCAAACUCAAAACUUACCAAAUUCUCAACUUUAAACUCAAAGUUCAAAACCAACUUUCAAAACUCAACCAAAAAUCGUUCAGAGUCGAUAUCGGAAGGGAAAAAACGGUAAAUUCACGAAAGUUUCCAAAAAUGACCAACCGAGUUAUUGCAAAAAGAAUGGAAGAGGAAAAUCAUAAACAUAAAGUGCACUAAUAUUAUUAUAAUAAAGUGCUCCACUCUUAUACAAUACAAUAUAUGACUUCACUUAUACAUAACUACUAUAUAUGUCAAUCCUUAAACUCCUACUUACUUUAACUAUAAUUAAAGAAUAAUACAUAUAGGAUAUAGCAUGACUCAAAAGACAACACAUGAUGACCAAUUCUACAACUUGUGCAUGAUCAAUUGAGCACCAUAUUGAGGUUGAAGUAAUAAUGGAUGAGGAGCAUGAGCAUAGGAUGGAGAGAGUUCAAAUGCAUAGUGUUUUAGAAUCAUGACCAUUGCCAUUUUUGCCUCUAACAUAGCAAAAUUUUGCCCAAUACAUAUUCUUGGACCCCAAUUAAAUGGAAAAAAUACAACUUGUCCUUUUGUUGCUUUUGAUAUUCCUUCACUAAAUCUCUCUGGCUUGAACUCCAUUGCAUCAUCUCCCCAUAUUUCAGUAUCAUGAUGCACUAACAUUGUUGCUAAUAUGAGUUGCACCCCAGAGGGUAAACACAAAUCCCCUAACUUUGUUUCUGUAUUUACCAUUCGAUUAAUCGCGUAUACUGAUGUAUACAACCUUAAGACCUCGUUUAAGAUCAUAGUCACCUAUAAAAUAAUAGAUCACAAGUUAAUAUAGCCAUUAAACAUAUUGAUUUUAUAAGAAAAAGUAGAAUUUAGAACUUGAUUACCAUUUUGAUAAUAUUUAGAUGAAGUUGAGUGACAUUAUGAUUAAAAAACUAAUUUAAAAACUUUUGGGAUUAUUAAGUAAAGUUGAAUGACUUUUCUAUUACAAAAAGUGGUUUACCGACUUAGGUGCUAAAAAAUGAAAGUUAGGCCGAAGAGUAUGACCUAGUUGUCAAUAAAGUGAUAUUAGUAAAAAUCACGAAAGACUACUUCGAAUUUCAAUACAUAAAAACUCCAAGAAUUUUUUUCUCAUGUAUUUGGUUGGUGGAGUUUCCUGAUAUAUUUAUAUAUAAAGUACUUGGUUGAGGUACGACUUGCAAACUGACCUAGAUACUACCAUAAUAACAAAAAAGUUCAAAAUAAUUGAGCAUGUAGGCAAUACUUACUACUUUUAGUUGAUUCAACUUAUCAUAAUCAAGUUCAUCACUUGCAAACACUUGUAAAACCUCUUCUCUAGCUCUUUCUUGCCAAAUAGGAUACUUGCAUAAUAAAAUCAUUGUCCACACAAGUAAAGUUGAAGUAGUCUCUUGUCCAGCAAAAUAGAACAAUUUACACUCUUCAAUCACCUCAUCAAUGCUCAUACCAAAUUUCUUAUUCCCAUGUUGUUGUAUUUCUUUUAAAUUGGAUGUCAAUAAUAUACUUAAUAAAUCAUCAUGUGAUUCUCCAGCUUCAAUCAUCCUCAUUCUUUUAUUUAUAAUUCCCAAUAUAAGUGCUUUUACUUCAUAGAAGAUUUGCAUCAUCCUUUUGUUCUUUUUAGUUGGCACAAAC
RNAcentral lists this long non-coding RNA (7324 nucleotides) under Solanum tuberosum (potato). RNAcentral's name for it is "long non-coding RNA (STUB_LNC009571)". Lineage: Eukaryota; Viridiplantae; Streptophyta; Magnoliopsida; Solanales; Solanaceae. The record is from RNAcentral.